RNAcentral lists this ribosomal RNA (888 nucleotides) under Triticum aestivum (bread wheat). Its description in RNAcentral is "partial small subunit ribosomal RNA". The record is from RNAcentral. Lineage: Eukaryota; Viridiplantae; Streptophyta; Magnoliopsida; Poales; Poaceae.
AUGGUGGUGCGUCGUUGGCGGGGACGACGGAGGAUUUCUACCCGCUGCCGCUGUGGGCCUUGGAGGAGCGGGCGUGCAGCUCGUGCGCGCGCAAGAAGAUGCUCCGCGAGAAGUGGGAGGCGGCGCGCGGCCUCGAUCCCCCGGCAUGUCCCCGAAGUGACGACGGGGUACCAUCGUCGUCGCCGUCGGCGCCGGUGCAGGGGCCGGGGACGGAGCUUCAGGACCCACAGGCGCCCCCGGCACAAGAAGUCGUUGCGCGACUGGCGUCUCCGAAGGGAGGGCAAGCUCCCCCCGUCGCCCCCGCCGCCGCCGCCCCCGCCAUCGGGGAUGCCGUUCUACUUUGGGAUACCAUAUCUUGGUAGCACUAAGUCGAUACUGAAGCUGGGGCGGAGGCUGCAGGAGCAGGCGCGGCGCGGGAAGAAGCGGCCUCUCUCGGUGGCGGAGGAGAGGGGGUAUCGCGAAUGCGACGUGGGCAAGAGGGUGAUGCGCCAUAAGCAGGACGGGCCGCCCCGGGACACGGCCGGCAUUGGCGCCGCGGCUAGGGUACGCGAUGCGCUCACGAAGAUGAUGCCUGAGCCUGAUAAGCGGAGGGGCGCGCGCCGCGUGGACUACUCGAAGCUGACGCCGCUCGUGGGGUCGCGGGAGCCCAGCUCCAGCGCCGCGGCUGGCGAAGACGUUUUGCACGACGAGGCGCUUCAAACCAUCGAAGGACAGCCAGAGGGGCUCCAUGGGGCCAGCCCCGCCCAGUGGUUUGCCCUACACGUCUCAACGGAGUUCAUGCGGCUGCUGGACCCACAGGUGAGUUCUAGUGCCGCAGCUGGAGGCGAUCUGGACGGGAGGCUGGAUGAGGAGGCGAUAGACACUUUGCUGAAUGGGGAGGGCAUGUAG